Molecule: long non-coding RNA, 1367 nt
Organism: Gasterosteus aculeatus aculeatus (three-spined stickleback)
Lineage: Eukaryota; Metazoa; Chordata; Actinopteri; Perciformes; Gasterosteidae
Source: RefSeq, a predicted model, not a curated record
GGAGGAGGAGAUGGAGACAGGGAAGGAAAAGGAGGAGAAAGAGAAGAGGGAGGAGAAGGACGAGAAAAAAAGUCCAGCAGAAAAAAAGCUGCUUCAGACGAUUUAUUCACAACUUUUCCUCCUUUUCACAUUUCAUCGAACUUUCGAACUGAGCGACAAAGAUUUCCUCGUUUUUAAAUGGCUUUUUCUAAUUAUUGGCCGCUGUGUUGAAACCCAGUUUGAAGGAGAAGGAGGAGGAGGAGGAGGAAAAAAUAAGGAAAAUAAAAUCCUCAGAGGACCAAAAACGAAGAAAAGAGGCUAGUCAGAACGGAGAAUCUAGUGCGAGGGAAGUGCCUUUUUUCUUUUCCCCAAAGAGAGGAGGAGAAAGCCGAAGAGAGAUGAAGCGAGGCGGAGACAGGUGCUAUGAUAGAGGGAUGAGGAGUGGAGGAGAAACUCUCAGCCCUGCGGCCCCACAGGACUGGACGCCAAAACCCCAAAACCCCACGGGUCUUCCUCCAAGCUGCUGAUGACAUCACUGGCAGGGGCGGAGCCUGACCAUACAAGGACAGCAGAGAAUUGGACUCUGACCUGGUUCCAGUUGUGGUCCGUUCCUUCUCCCUCUUAAGGAUUUAAAGGUACAGUCCUCUCCAUCCUGGGGCGAAGCCAUUCGGGGAUCUCUGAUGAAAUCACCAAUAGGUGGCGCUCUGCCAUACCUGAAAGAAGGAAAUAUUAUUAUCAUAGAAACAUUCAUUGCUUCCGAUUUCAUGUUGUGCUGAAGAGAGAAGGUUGAUGAUUUUCAUGUUUUGACUUUUACUUGAUGAAGCUUUGAGUAAUGUCGCUUACAGACAGGAAGUGAGACAGGUUUUCAGAGUACCAGCGCUGCACUGCUCUGGGAGAGAAGGCCUCCAAGGGGAGGACCGAGGAGAUGAAAAACAUCAGGAUGAGGAAUGAAGGCGUAAGAGGAGAGAGAAGAGAAGGAGGGAUAAGAGAGGAGAGGAAGAGGAAAGGGAAGGAAAGGAAAAGAGGAAGGAUGAAAGCAAACAGUAAAUAAAAGGAAAGCAAGGUGAAAAAGAAAAAGAUGAUGAUGAAGAAAAAAUGAAUAAAUAAAUAAGGAAAAGGAGAACAGGAGGAGGAGAAUGAGGAGGAGAAGAUGCGUCUCCAUGAAGAUCUGGUGAGUCCUGCAGACUUUUUCCUUCUCCACAUUUUUACAGCUGCAGAAAUUGAGAUCUAUUAAAACCUGAUUAAUAAACUGACCAUUAUACUAGACAUAAUGAUAUAACAAUAAUAUCAAUAAUCAUACUUUGUAUCGAUCAUACUGCUGCUCUAUUUGUCUAAUAAAAAGCUAAUAAUUCAAUUUAAAUGGACGAAUAAAUGAGCUGUCUAAAGGA